Molecule: ribosomal RNA, 464 nt
Filed under: uncultured bacterium
Lineage: Bacteria
Description: partial 16S ribosomal RNA
Rfam family: Bacterial small subunit ribosomal RNA
Source: RNAcentral
CUACGGGGCGCUGCAGUGGGGAAUAUUGCACAAUGGGCGCAAGCCUGAUGCAGCCAUGCCGCGUGUAUGAAGAAGGCCCUCGGGUUGUAAAGUACUUUCAGCGGGGAGGAAGGGAGUAAAGUUAAUACCUUUGCUCAUUGACGUUACCCGCAGAAGAAGCACCGGCUAACUCCGUGCCAGCAGCCGCGGUAAUACGGAGGGUGCAAGCGUUAAUCGGAAUUACUAGGCGUAAAGCGCACGCAGGCGGUUUGUUAAGUCAGAUGUGAAAUCCCCGGGCUCAACCUGGGAACUGCAUCUGAUACUGGCAAGCUUGAGUCUCGUAGAGGGGGGUAGAAUUCCAGGUGUAGCGGUGAAAUGCGUAGAGAUCUGGAGGAAUACCGGUGGCGAAGGCGGCCCCCUGGACGAAGACUGACGCUCAGGUGCGAAAGCGUGGGGAGCAAACAGGAUUAGAUACCCCGGUAGUC